AUCACACAACAGUUUUGUAACCAUGUUCUCGCAGAAAGUUCCAUAGUCCACCCUUCUGGAACAAAAUAAAGUGAUUUCCAGAAAGGAUAUGGGUCAGUGACAAUGUGGGAAGAAACAAGAAAAAUCAAUAACCUACAUUUUCAUGUGAAAUGACGACAUCUUUAGCUUUACCAACAGACUUCCUAGGCAUGGUCCAGGAGAGGAUGUGAGAACGUAAUUUUAGAACCAGAAGGAAGCUAAGAAAUAAUGACAACUUAACACCUGGAUCGCCCAGGGGAGGAAAUGGAAACCCUGACUGGGGAACUUUCUUCGGUCACACAACGAGUUAUCCACUUUCAGCUUGGUGUUCUUUCAGUCUUCAUUUGCCUCCUAAAUAAAUGAUCUGCUGGCUCGGA
Callithrix jacchus (white-tufted-ear marmoset) is the source of this 395-nucleotide non-coding RNA. The record is from RefSeq and is a predicted model, not a curated record. NCBI's taxonomy places the organism in Eukaryota, Metazoa, Chordata, Mammalia, Primates, Cebidae.